RNAcentral lists this small nuclear RNA (109 nucleotides) under Neogale vison (American mink). RNAcentral describes it as "Neovison vison (American mink) U4 spliceosomal RNA (ENSNVIG00000009539.1)". It matches the Rfam family "U4 spliceosomal RNA". Rfam says of the family: U4 small nuclear RNA (U4 snRNA) is a component of the major U2-dependent spliceosome. The structure of U4 snRNA from yeast and human has been reported. The record is from Rfam by way of RNAcentral. Lineage: Eukaryota; Metazoa; Chordata; Mammalia; Carnivora; Mustelidae.
UUCAUAAUUCAGUGGCAGUAUCGUAGCCAAUGAGGUUUAUCCGAGGCGCGAUUAUUGCUAAUUGAAAACUUUUCCCAUAAUUCCAAAACUCUGAAGCAACCAAGAUGUC